GCAGCAACAUGAGGUCACAGUGACCAGUUUCUGUCUUUGAGGCCAGUGGUAACAUCAUGUGGGGAGUACAUUGGUCAACCUUCAUCGGAGCAGGUAACAGGGGACACACUGCCCUACUCAUGAAGGCAGGCGGAAGCAGGACUGUAUGGCUGCUGUAAAUUUUAUAUGCAUAUAAAAUUUAUAGUAUGUUAUGGUUUAAGAGAAAAUUAUAUGAAAUUAUAUGAUAAUUAUAUAUUGCAAGUGGUGCUGUGGGUUAAACUUCAGAGCCUAGGACUUGCUGAUCAGAAGGUCGGCGGUUCGAAUCCCUGCGACGGGAUGAGCUCCCGUUGCUCGGUCCCUGCUCUUGCCAACCUGGCAGUAUGAAAGCACAUCAAAGUGCAAGUAGAUAAAUAAGUACCACUCCAGCGGGAAGGUAAACGGCAUUUCCGUGCGCUGCUCUGGUUUGCCAGAAGCGGCUUAGUCAUGCUGGCCACAUGACCCGGAAGCUGUACGCCGGCUCCCUCGGCCAAUAAAGCGAGAUGAGCGCUGCAACCCCAGAGUCUGCCACGACUGGACCUAAUGGUCAGGGGUCCCUUUACCUUUAACACUGAGUUAACUGGCAAAAAUGUGUUGGAAAUAUAAGGAGAAAGAAGGUUCUUUUUAUCAUAUGUGGUGGUCUUGUAUAAGGUUAAAGCUUACAGGGAAAUGAUAUAUAAUGAAUUGAAAAGGAUGUUCAAAAUAACUUUGGUUAAAAAAAACCCAGAAGCUUUUCUUUUAGGAAUUACAGGGACAGAACUACCUAAACUGUAUAGAAACUUAUUCAUGUAUGCUACUACAGCGGCAAGAAUGUACUCACCCCAAAAUGGAAAGAAGCAGAAGUCCCAGCAAAGGAAGAAUGGAUACAAAAACUUAGGGAAUAUGCAGAAAUGGCGAAACUUACUGGAAGAAUAAGAAAUCAAGGUAACAAUUUUUUAAAAUAAAAGAAUGGAAAUGAUUUAUUGAGUAUUUACAGAUAAAAAACAUUGGCAG
Podarcis lilfordi (Lilford's wall lizard) is the source of this 1008-nucleotide non-coding RNA. NCBI's taxonomy places the organism in Eukaryota, Metazoa, Chordata, Lepidosauria, Squamata, Lacertidae. The record is from the annotation of a GenBank genome assembly.